RNAcentral lists this ribosomal RNA (273 nucleotides) under uncultured bacterium. RNAcentral describes it as "partial 16S ribosomal RNA". It matches the Rfam family "Bacterial small subunit ribosomal RNA", at positions 524 to 793 of the family's 1533-position model. The record is from RNAcentral.
UACAGAGGUCUCAAGCGUUGUUCGGAUUCAUUGGGCGUAAAGGGUGCGUAGGUGGCGGGGCAAGUUUGGUGUGAAAUCCCGGGGCUCAACCCCGGAACUGCACUGAAUACUGCCUUGCUUGAGCACUGGAGAGGGAACUGGAAUUUGACGGUGUAGCAGUGAAUGCGUAGAUAUCGUAAGGAAGACCAGUGGCGAAGGCGAGUUCCUGGACAGUUGCUGACACUGAGGCACGAAGGCUAGGGGAGCAAACGGGAGUUAGAAACCCGAGUAACG